This 253-nucleotide ribosomal RNA is filed under the name uncultured bacterium. RNAcentral's name for it is "partial 16S ribosomal RNA". It matches the Rfam family "Bacterial small subunit ribosomal RNA", at positions 524 to 776 of the family's 1533-position model. The record is from RNAcentral.
UACGUAGGGACCGAGCGUUGUCCGGAAUCAUUGGGCGUAAAGAGCGUGUAGGCGGCCAACUAAGUCCUGCGUGAAAUCUCGGGGCUCAACCCCGAGCGGUCGUGGGAAACUGGUUGGCUAGAGUGCGGGAGAGGAGAGUGGAAUUCCUGGUGUAGCGGUGAAAUGCGCAGAUAUCAGGAGGAACACCGGUGGCGAAGGCGGGUCUCUGGGCCGAUACUGACGCUGAGGAGCGAAAGCGUGGGGAGCAAACAGG